This 1313-nucleotide long non-coding RNA is filed under the name Musa acuminata (dwarf banana). RNAcentral's name for it is "long non-coding RNA (MACU_LNC007420)". Lineage: Eukaryota; Viridiplantae; Streptophyta; Magnoliopsida; Zingiberales; Musaceae. The record is from RNAcentral.
GUAGCGCGGAGGAGCCUCAAGCCUUUAUAGUAAGGGUUAUUUAGGGGGUUAUUUAGGAUAUGUUUUAUGUGAGGUGUGCUUCGGGCUUGGACUAUUGAGUGGAAUUCGCUGUUCCGCUUCUUAUGAAAAACGAUUCUGAUUCCGACUAUUGUAGAUGCACGGCACUGGAUCGUACCCUGAGUAGAAGAAUGAAAAUAGGCAAUGUCAGCUUGGAAUCAAUAUAUAUCUAAGGUAAUGUAGCUCCUCCGCGCGGGUGUUUGUAUUUCCAUCAAUAUCUCCUAGUUACAUCAAUGAGUCUGUGUCUAGUGUUGCUUCGGUAGGUUCACUCACUCCUUUUGUAGGUUAACGAAUUCUGCGAGCGAGCAAUCAUUCACCAUAUCUGGGAGCGUGAUCAAAGGUUUGUUUCCCCACUAACAAGAAAGGAACCACUAGCAAACAGCCUAUAUGAACUACUCAAACACAACUGUCAAGAGAAAAACCAAGAAAUUGUGAAAUAGCUCUGUACUUGCUAUUACUGCUUAUGUCUUAUGGGACUACCUCGCAUUACUGUCUCUUAGCCUCACAUUACUGCCUUGAAGUCUCUUACUUGCUUCUUUCGCUCUUACGUCCAUUGCCCUUAAGCUGUGUCUCUGUUUUCAUUCCUGUCUUUACUGGAAUUAUAUGAGAAUUCAUGUUCUUUUUAGAAGUUCACUUAAUCAUACUUUAGGGUUCAAUAAAGAGUGGAAGGCGGUAGGGAUAUACUGAGUGACAUUACAAUAAAGGCAGAGCUGAGUCCCCAGGGCAAAAUCCAUAACUAAAGAAUUAGUUCCGGACGAGUAACUACUAGACGCCAAGCGCCCUAACAGUCAUAUACAAGAAUUCUGGCUGGGAUAGUUAGAACGAUAUCCGAGUAGCCGAGCUGGGUCCCAUGGGCGCUGUUCUGUUUGGUUUGGGCAGUGCAGUAAGCGAGAUGUGAGAUCAGUGGCUGUAGUCUUAUAAUGCACUAGCGCGGAUCCCUAGCAUGGUAUCCUAACACUCAUGAGGUAAAUCCUAUCCUGUCCGGGCCCCAUAUAAACCAAACAUUCUUUGACUGCUUGUUUGAAGUCUCCCACUGCUCUAUCUCAUUCUCCUUACCUUUACUUUUGUUCUUUAAACUUACAUUGGAUCCUUACUUCCUCGACAACACCCCUAUUGAUUGAAGCCAUGGUACACAACAUAUACCCUAUUGUAGGAUCGCUUUCGUAGUAGGAUCGCUUUCGCCCCAUUUGCAUCUAAGAAUUCUGUUUACUUAACAUCGGCAUCAGAGCUCCUUCGUGAAUAAGAAAAACGGAAAG